UCUUUAAAGGAUAAGAAAAAUCAAUUAAACGUAAAUCAAUCUAAAAUCCUGCCUCCUUUUCCUUAAAGAAGUACAGUAUCAAUUGAUAAAGUAGUUAAUAAAUCUACACAAAAUAUUUUACAUGAAAACAAUUUUAAUCCUACGAACAACACAUACAGUAAUGGUGAGUAAUAAAAUUUAUAAAUAAACUAUAUGACACAAAAAAUUAUUAAUAACUUUUUACUCUUUAGAUACAAAUAAAAAAGCAACUUGAUAAAAAUAAACUUUGUAUGCAAGAUUCUCCAAAAAAUAUCGAAAAAGAAAAUUUUUAUGCUGAUGGUAUUUACUAUAAAAAUAAAUUAUUAAAUUUUUUAUUUCUUUUAUUAAAAAGCUGUGCUGAGAAAUGUAUGUCUAUGCGCGUGUGUCUAGUUAUUGUAUGAUAGUGUUACGGCCGUGCUAUUUGUAAUGUGUUACCGUGUAGCUUUUUUAUUCGAUAUUAAUGAGUUGACGGUUGCUUGUUAGCGACGCUUGUUGCUAUGCUGUUUUUGUCUGAAGCCUCGUUUGGUAACGGACGUGUUUCAAUAAACGUCUGAGUUUCUUUAAAAGUCUGCUCAAUCAUUUAUUGUACGCGAGUGCCUUUUUGUGCGAGAGUGCGCGUGAGUGUCCUAUGCCACCGACGGACGUAACAAUAUUUAGCAUUUUAAAUAUUGUACCAUAACAACAUUACUAAAAUAUAUAAUAAAUUUAUUUCAGAUUUAACUAAACAAAUUACAGGAAAAAUUAACAAAGUAUUAUAUAAAUUGGAUAAUAUUGAAAAUAGAUUUGAUAUUUAUUAGAGGAAAAAAUACAACCUUCCAGGCAUUACAAUGAUUCAGAAUUCGAUAUCCAGUUCCCGAUAUCUACAUUUACUGAAUUGAUAAACUUUGAGGAACAAUUGAAAGAAACUACUGUCACGAGUGGCGAAAGCCACCGCUGACGAAACAAUUAAUUACAAAAUACAAUUUGUUUAUAUUAUGCCACCGGUAUCGGUAAUGCCGACAUCAUGACACAGUAACCGAUACCAGGAACGCUGAAUAGGCGACCUUCUCGAGUGGACAACAGAUCUGCUAAAUCUGCAAGGCCAGAUCGGCCAGCUCUCCAAUAACUAGAGAGCCAACGACAGACGCGGUAGACUCAGGUUAAAGCACGCGACAGUCUAUUUCGGUACUAUCUUACCUAUCUCAAAUAAAAGGCAGUGUAACAAACUAUAAUAAAGAACUUUAUUAUUAACCGUACAACGAGUGUUUAAUUCAAACGUCUCCGAUCGACGGGCUCCUGCCAAACGAAUCCGAGGAAAUCACGCAUAACACCACAUUUGAGGACAAAGUACUUCGCAUUUUAAAAAGUGUUGGUGGGUUUAAUGCACAUACUAUGGUAAGAAGUAUUUUGAAAAAAGUAACAGUAGAUCCUUUAGCGCAAAAUUUUAACUGGACUGGCAAAAACAAUAAGUGUUGUUUCAAAGAUUUAAGUCUUUCUAAAGUGAUCGUAUAGACUGUUCGUGUAACAUAUCAAUUAACGGAAAGUGACAUUGCAGACUACAUAUCAAAACGGCUUGCUCAAGCUUCUGUAAGAAUUCAAAGAAAUAAGUAUGUAUACGUAUGUUUUCUCUGUUAGGAAUGUCAUGAUUAUAUAUAGAUUAAUCAGAUUUCUUGGUUUGGAAUUUAAUCAAAUUAAAAUUGAUUUAUAGCAAUAUAGAAUAAGCAAUAGUCAGAUGUCACUUUUUCGUUCAUGCUGAAUCAAUGCUGAAAAAAUUAUAAAUAUAUUAUCUGAAUAUUAUAUGUAAAAUUCUUUAGAAUAUUAUAAUUUUGUUAUUACACUCAAACGAAAAAAUCUAAUUGAAACAUUUGUAGAAUAUAGUUAAUUAUUGAUUUAAUUAAAUGUAUAACUUUGAUCUUUAUACUGAUGUUUCAGAGAUACUCAAGAAAAAAUCAAAGAAGUUAAAAUAUAUAUAUGCAUAUAAUAUAUAUAUAUAUAUAUAUAUAUAUAUAUAUAUAUAUAUAUAUAUAUAUAUAUAUUUACUACGUUUACUACGUUUAAAUGAAAACGUAGUAAAUAUAUAUAUUAUACUAUAUAUAUAUUGUAACGAUAGCUCGUUACGAAGGUAUAAUAUUAUGUCUCUCUCGCUCUCACGCCCGAUCGCGGAAUGUCGGUCCGUCUCUUUCGCUCGCGCGCUCUGGCCACAUGACAUCGGUAUCGUUCUCCGUCUCGCUCGCUCUCACACCCGGUCGCGUGACGUCAGGCGUAACAUCGGGCAAGCAUGUGAGCGUGGGUGCGCGCCGAAAGUGGGGAAACCACGAGUUAAACUGCGUCAAAUCUACACGAAAUUAGGUGCAAUGCGCAUGUUGUUGGUACUCGUAUUACCGCGGUAUACACGUUUCAGUGAAAGUGCAAAUAACUUAACACAUAAGUAUUUAGUUCACUAUCAUUCUAUCAUUUUUUUAUGCUACGCGCGUGAUACACAGCUUUUGAUAUUAAAAAUUACACAUUUACUUGAUAUACACAUAAUUCUUGAUAACUGUCAAAACGUGAUCUCCACGAUGACAGUAGCUCAUGAAGUAAGCACAGCAUGAGAACUAAUCAGCAUUACGAAAUAUAUUUUUUUCAUCAACGGUAUUUCGGACACGGUAAUUGGUAAAUCUGUGGAAACGGGUACACGAUAAUUUGUACAUGACCACGGUGACAAGCGCAUUCCGUUUUCAUUAAUUUUAAUAUUAAUACAAUUGCAUUUUGUUAAUAAUAGAUGGAUUUAUAUAUUCUUUUAGUUCUUUUAUAAACGUUAAGAAAAAAAAGUUUAAACUUUUCAUUCAUUUAUUUUUUUUAAGAUGCAUUAAAGUUGGGAUUUUCAGAAAACGCCACGAUAAUAGGUGCACUUACCCUAGAACAGUAGACAAAAAAAAUAUUAGAAAUCUUACAAUCAAUGCAUACUUUGAAUCUUUUUGGAUUGAAAGCAUUAGUUGGAGACUAUCCUCAAAUUAUGCAUUCAACAUAUGAAUUGUCCUCACAUUAUGCAUUGGACAUACCUGACGGAAGUGUCCCCGAAUUAUACUUUCUACAUGUCUUAUGGAUAUACAAUGUGCUCAAAUUAAACAUUCUAUUUCUAUACUUUUAAAAUACAUUUUGUCCUCAAAGUACGAGUUAUAUAUUUAUGUUUUACAAAAACAUUAUAUAAUGUUAACUCUGGACAAAGUACAUUAUAAAAGUAUAGAGAUAGAAUGUUUAAUUUGAGAACAUUAUAUUCCCAUGAAAUAUGUCGAGUGUAUAAUUCGAGGACAUCCUUGGUAAAAAUUCCAUUAGAAAUGGAUAGAUUCCGUAAUAAACGUUAUUUCAACAUUUUAUCCAUUUUUUUAUUAUUUUACUGCACAAUUCUUUCCCUGUUAUUAUAGAAUCUAUCCGCUUCUAAUGGAAUUUUUAGCAGGGACUUCCAUUUGAUAUGUCAAACGUACAAUUUGAGGACAACAUGUUGCACAUAUAAUUUGACUUAUACAUUCACUAAACAGUUUUAGGAAGCAACAAACACAUAUAUAAAAUUAUUUACUAUUAUCAAUAAUAUACUCACUAUGACUACAUUAACUACGUCAUUUAAAAAAAAAAAUUGUGCAAAUUUUAUUUUCGUUUUAAAAGAACUUUUAGCAAAUUUUUUAUAGAAAAAAACCAAAAUGUAUGAGCGCGAAUUAUAGAUUUCUUUUGCUUUUAUUAUCUAAGCAAAUCAUGUUUUUAUAAGGUUAAUAUAAUAAAAUAUUUAGUCUUCAAGAAAUAAAAUUUUCAACGAAAGAAAUGCUGUCAGCAUUUAAUAUUUCGGAGUCAUCUAUAUCAUUAGCUUCAGUAUCGUUAGCGUCAAUAAUAUUAACUUCGAUAUCAUUUGCUUCAAUAUUAUCAUUUAUAUCUAUUUCAGCAGUAAAAAUAAUUUAUUAUAAAUUAAAAAGGAAUGAUUUAUUUAAAUUGUUCAAAAAUAUUAAUGAGGGAGGGCGUGCAAGCCUGUGUGCUUUUGUACACAUGUGUGUGUAUAUACUCGUAUUUAUACCUAUAUUCUUAUUUUCUACAGUUAUGAUUUCUGAUUCUUCUGCUUCAAAUUUAUCAUUGUUUGUAUCAAUUUCAGCUGUAAUAAUGGAUAAAUUUAAUUUUUAAAUAAAUUAGGAAGCUUAAUAAGAUGCUAUUCCAGACAACACACAAUAUUUAUGAUAUUUAUAAAUAUGUAUUAAUAUUUACUUUUAUAUUUAUCAUAUAAAUAUUUUAUAAAUAUUUUAUACAAAAAAAGGGAAAAAAUUAUAAAAUUGUUAUUGCAAUAUUGAAAAUGUUAUUAAAUAUAGUAUGUAUUUCAUAAAUAUUUUUAUGUAACAUCUGUAAUAAAUGUUUAUGAUCUAUUCAAUCUGAAAUCACAAAAGUGUCUAUGAAAUAUUAUCCUACAUAUUUAGAAAAUAUUCAAAUAAUUAUUAUAGAUAUGUAAUUUUUUAUAAAAAUUGAAUGCUAUCAGACAUGACAUAUGUAAACUGUAGUAUAUUCUUUGCGUUAUGAUGCAAUCUUGCGUCAAUCUUAGAGUUAUGAUAAGAUUACUUAUAAUAAGUUUGUGCAAAUUUUUUUUUAUAUUUAUCCAUAAAGUACUUACUUUGUAA
Solenopsis invicta (red fire ant) is the source of this 4628-nucleotide long non-coding RNA. RefSeq lists it as uncharacterized. The record is from RefSeq and is a predicted model, not a curated record. The transcript is spliced from 3 exons. NCBI's taxonomy places the organism in Eukaryota, Metazoa, Arthropoda, Insecta, Hymenoptera, Formicidae.